GGCUGGGGUGCGUGCAGGGGCGCGGGGUGCGGGCAGGGGCCGGGUGCGGGCAGGGGCCGGGUGCGGGCAGGGCCGCCUCUCACCCGGCUUCCCGCCUAGUGAGCGCACCUUGGACGCCUGCGGCUUUUCCGAGCCGAAGCUCACGGGCUGUGGCCGGCUUCGUUUCGUGUAGUGCAGCUCCGCGACCGCCCGUGGCCACACCAUUCGGGGACUUCGUGCUUUACGAUGGGGGCGCAGUGGCCUGGCACACGCAGCACCCCGGGCCUCGAACCCUCGCGCUGGCCGCCCUGGACCCGCACAGUCAGGGUACCUGCCCAUACCGAUGGGGUGGGGACCACCACGGAGCCUUUCCUUGGCCCCGCGGCUUCUGUUCCUUUCGAGACGGACAGCGCCCACCCGGAGGAAAGCCUGACAGACGAGACUUCGCAAGGAUCAGCGAGAAGGCACAUGUGAAGCUCACCCAGGUUCUGUCUGUUUCUGCUCUCGUAUAAAGACCCCAUAUGGAGCCAGUGACAACGAGGGCCAUGGGGAAGGCAGGUGAGGAUUGGGCCCUGCUGCUCAGCACAGGGUCAGCUGGCUGGCCUAGGGUGGGCUGGCCAGGCGCAGGGUGGGCUGGUCAGGCGCGGGGUGGGCUGGCCAGGCGGGGGGCCGGGCUGGUCAGGCGGUGGGGUGGGCUGGUCAGGUGUGGGGUCAGCUGGUCAGUGUAGGGGGGUUGGCUGGUCAGGUGUGGGCUGGGCUGGUCAGGUGG
This 748-nucleotide long non-coding RNA is filed under the name Macaca mulatta (Rhesus monkey). Its description in RNAcentral is "lncRNA (ENSMMUG00000048805.2)". The record is from RNAcentral. Lineage: Eukaryota; Metazoa; Chordata; Mammalia; Primates; Cercopithecidae.